GUUUUAAUAGUUUAAUAAAAACAUUGGUCUUGUAUACCAAAAAUAAGAUUUUAAUUUUUAAAACU
RNAcentral lists this transfer RNA (65 nucleotides) under Epacanthaclisis banksi. RNAcentral's name for it is "tRNA-Thr". It matches the Rfam family "tRNA". Rfam says of the family: Transfer RNA (tRNA) molecules are approximately 80 nucleotides in length. Their secondary structure includes four short double-helical elements and three loops (D, anti-codon, and T loops). Further hydrogen bonds mediate the characteristic L-shaped molecular structure. tRNAs have two regions of fundamental functional importance: the anti-codon, which is responsible for specific mRNA codon recognition, and the 3' end, to which the tRNAs corresponding amino acid is attached (by aminoacyl-tRNA synthetases). tRNAs cope with the degeneracy of the genetic code in two manners: having more than one tRNA (with a specific anti-codon) for a particular amino acid; and 'wobble' base-pairing, i.e. permitting non-standard base-pairing at the 3rd anti-codon position. The record is from RNAcentral. Lineage: Eukaryota; Metazoa; Arthropoda; Insecta; Neuroptera; Myrmeleontidae.